RNAcentral lists this ribosomal RNA (180 nucleotides) under uncultured Glomeromycotina. RNAcentral describes it as "partial small subunit ribosomal RNA". The stretch from base 88 to 180 matches the Rfam family "Eukaryotic small subunit ribosomal RNA", at positions 735 to 830 of the family's 1831-position model. Lineage: Eukaryota; Fungi; Glomeromycota. The record is from RNAcentral.
GAUAUGGCCGUGCAGUCUGCUUUCGGGUAAGUACUGCUUGGCUGUAUCUUUCCUUCUGGGGAGCCAGCGUGCUCUUAAUUGAGUGCGUUGGGGAUCCAGAACUUUUACCUUGAGAAAAUUAGAGUGUUCAAAGCAGGCCUACGCCUGAAUACAUUAGCAUGGAAUAAUAGAAUAGGACGU